This 512-nucleotide ribosomal RNA is filed under the name uncultured bacterium. RNAcentral's name for it is "partial 16S ribosomal RNA". It matches the Rfam family "Bacterial small subunit ribosomal RNA", at positions 28 to 523 of the family's 1533-position model. The record is from RNAcentral.
GAUGAACGCUGGCGGCAUGCCUAAUACAUGCAAGUCGAACGAGAGGAAGGAAAGCUUGCUUUCCUGAAUCUAGUGGCGAACGGGUGAGUAACACGUAGGUAACCUGCCCAUGUGCCCGGGAUAACUUCUGGAAACGGAUGCUAAAACCGGAUAGGUAGCAGACAAGCAUUUGACUGCUAUUAAAGUGGCUAAGGCCAUGAACAUGGAUGGACCUGCGGUGCAUUAGCUAGUGGGUGAGGUAACGGCCCACCAAGGCGAUGAGGCAUAGCCGGCCUGAGAGGGCGGACGGCCACAUUGGGACUGAGACACGGCCCAAACUCCUACGGGAGGCAGCAGUAGGGAAUUUUCGUCAAUGGGGGGAACCCUGAACGAGCAAUGCCGCGUGAGUGAGGAAGGUCUUCGGAUCGUAAAGCUCUGUUGUAAGAGAAAAACGACAUUCAUAGGGAAUGAUGAGUGAGUGAUGGUAUCUUACCAGAAAGUCACGGCUAACUACGUGCCAGCCGCCGCCGUAA